GAUGAACGCUGGCGGCGUGCCUAAUACAUGCAAGUCGAGCGAACGGACGUGAAGCUUGCUUCUCUGAUGUUAUCGGCGGACGGGUGAGUAACACGUGGAUAACCUACCUAUAAGACUGGGAUAACUUCGAGAAACCGUAGCUAAUACCGGAUAAUAUUUUGAACCGCAUGGUUCAAAAGUUAAAGACGGUCUUGCUGUCACUUAUAGAUGGAUCCGCGCUGCAUUAGCUAGUUGGUAAGGUAACGGCUUACCAAGGCAACGAUGCAUAGCCGACCUGAGAGGGUGAUCGGCAACGGUGGAACUGAGACACGGUCCAGACUCCGACGGGAGGCAGCAGUAGGGAAUCGUCAGCAAGGGGAGAAAGCGUGAGGGAGAAACGCCGCGUGAGUGAUGAAGGUCUUCGGAUCGUAAAACUCUGUUAUUAGGGAAGAACAUAUGUGUAAGUAACUGUGCACAUCUUGACGGUACCUAAACAGAAAGCCACGGCUAACUACGUG
RNAcentral lists this ribosomal RNA (497 nucleotides) under uncultured bacterium. Its description in RNAcentral is "partial 16S ribosomal RNA". It matches the Rfam family "Bacterial small subunit ribosomal RNA", at positions 28 to 507 of the family's 1533-position model. The record is from RNAcentral.